GGGAUUGACAAAACCUAAAAAGUUUAUCCAGGGAUCUGCGAGGAAUCCACAGACCCAGGAUUCAACAGAAAUUAUGUUCAAUUCCCCCAUUGUAGAAAUAAAGUGAGACCCCAAGAGAACUCGAGACAGGCAGGGCUGGAACUCAGGCCGUCAGAUUCUGAGUCCCGUGCCUUCCUGCUGGAGAAUCGGGCAAGUCGCUUAGCCUCUCUGAGCUCAGUUUACUUGUCUGUACAAGGGGUACAACCUCCUCCAGUUGUAAGGAAUUCAGAGAGACGGCACAUACAAAGCUCUUAGCAUAGUGCCUAGCACGGAUUCAGUGUUCCAUAAAUGUGAGCCUCUGUCCUGGGGACUGGCCCAAGCUGGGAGGAGGGAGACUGGCUGAUGAAGAGUCUAGGUUCCUGCAGGUCUGGAGACCCAGUUUGCAAAUGAGGUAAGACAUAAUUCUAGAAUCUGCUAAGGACAGGUGAGAUUCUAACACUGUCUCAUCCCAUUGCUAGCCCUAGAGUUUCUCAUGGGGAUAGUUCCUCAGGCUGGCCUUUUAUGUUCUCAUGAUACCUUUGGAAUUAUUUAAAUAUAAACUCUGACUUUUCACGGGAGUGGGAGCCACAAAAUGGCCCUGGAUAGGGAGGUCCCUAAGUCACCUGGGCCUCCACCCCUAGACUGUGAAUCCUCCUUCCUCACCCCUACGCCGCCACCUGGACCGGGCCCAGCCCAGGGCAGACAUACUGGGCAUUUGUUGUGAUCUCUGACAAUCCUGAUGAGUCAUGAAGAAGCAUAUUUACCCAUUCGAACGCUAGCAAGUGCCUGAAACAGGGCAGGGGUCGGGUAGACCUCGGAAUCUCUGCACUCCAGACUCGAGGAUGUCAGACACAAGAAAGGAGAGUGCCCUUGAGAGCACACCAUGGCCACGCCCCUGGAGGAUGUUGGCAAGCAGGUGUGGCGGGGCGCCCUGCUCCUGGCAGACUACAUCCUGUUCCGACAGGACCUCUUCCGAGGAUGCACAGCGCUGGAGCUCGGGGCCGGCACGGGGCUCGCUAGCAUCAUCGCAGCCACCGUGGCACGGACCGUUUAUUGUACAGAUGUCGGUGCAGAUCUCUUGGCCAUGUGCCAGCGAAACAUUGCCCUCAACAGCCACCUGACUGCCACUGGAGGUGGUAUAGUUAAAGUCAAAGAACUGGACUGGCUGAAGGACGACCUCUGCACAGAUCCCGAGGUCCCCUUCAGUUGGUCACAAGAGGAAAUUUCUGACUUGUAUGAUCACACCACCAUCCUGUUUGCAGCCGAAGUGUUUUACGACGACGACUUGACUGAUGCUGUGUUUAAAACACUCUCCCGACUCGCCCACAGAUUGAAAAAUGCCUGCACAGCCAUACUGUCGGUGGAGAAGAGGCUCAACUUCACACUGAGACACUUGGACGUCACAUGUGAAGCCUACGAUCACUUCCGCUCCUGCCUGCACGCACUGGAGCAUCUCGCAGAUGGCAAGCUGCGCUUCGUGGUGGAGCCCGUGGAGGCCUCCUUCCCACAGCUCCUGGUUUACGAGCGCAUCCAGCAGCUGGAGCUCUGGAAGAUCAUCGCAGAACCAGUAACAUGACCCAUCGCCUCCACAAGGCGCGGCGUCUCGACUGUUCUUAGAGUAUAUUUCUAGUAAAAUCAGAAGCUCACCAAAGCAA
RNAcentral lists this small RNA (1673 nucleotides) under Pongo abelii (Sumatran orangutan). Its description in RNAcentral is "processed transcript". The record is from RNAcentral. Lineage: Eukaryota; Metazoa; Chordata; Mammalia; Primates; Hominidae.